UGUUGUAAUUCAUAGGGAUCUGCAGUUAGAACAGGAGGAGACGCUGGGGCUCCCAUCCUCAGGCUUCUCGUUUAACAGGUGAGAAAGGUGAGGAUUAAGUGUCUAGGAUCCUAAUACAUGUCUGAAGAUUCCCCGGAUUUGGAGGCAGAAGAUCUGAGUUCGAGUCUGGCUGUUCAUUUGUUCUCUGACUAAGGAAAAGGAAACUGAGGUCUAAUGAAGGGAAAGAGUUUGUCCAAACUCUGGGUCCAAGGCGGGAUCUGAACCUAAAUUAGUGCGGUACAGAGAAAGUCUCCUGGAAUCCACUCCUUUGUGUAGUUGGGAAAGGAUGUAGAAAAGUCUCUCCCAAAAAGCCUGGAUGACUCAAGUGCUAAGAGAAAAAUCGAUUUGAAAGCCAUUGAAAUCGAUUGAAAUCUCCUGUUAUGUAAUGCUUUUGGGCUAGCCCUGAAGAACAGUGAUAAUAAAGAUUCUAAGAGACUCGA
This is a long non-coding RNA of Antechinus flavipes (yellow-footed antechinus), 479 nucleotides long. RefSeq lists it as uncharacterized. The record is from RefSeq and is a predicted model, not a curated record. The transcript has 3 exons. NCBI's taxonomy places the organism in Eukaryota, Metazoa, Chordata, Mammalia, Dasyuromorphia, Dasyuridae.